Long non-coding RNA from Canis lupus familiaris (dog), 1107 nucleotides. RefSeq lists it as uncharacterized. NCBI's taxonomy places the organism in Eukaryota, Metazoa, Chordata, Mammalia, Carnivora, Canidae. The transcript is spliced from 5 exons. The record is from RefSeq and is a predicted model, not a curated record.
GUCCAUGCAAAUAGCAACAACUCUGUUUUCCCAGAUAUGCUCUGAAGGAGGACAAGGACACAGGGGGGAUUCUCCAGCCUCUCCUUAGGAAAGAGUGAAAAAGAAAGUCCUUCUAAGCAGAGGCUUUUAAGAUUGCUAAAACUGCAAAGAUAAGAAGUAUAAGACCUUUCCUGGCAUGGUAAAGAGGAUUCUUGGAGGAGGAAGAGCAUGUGACAAGGCAUGUGAGGAAGGCCUGAAGCUCAGUCCCACACCAGCCAGCUCAUCACUGAUGAUAAAGUCAGUCCACCCUGAGCAUUUCGGUGACCACACGCCCCUAGCAAGCAUUUGAAUUAAGAUGGAAAUACACAUUGAAAUGUUAUGAGAAGAAGCGAGCCUGAAAAAAGGGGACACAUUUAGCAGAUUUAAGGCUGCUUCUUAGUGCAGACCUGGCUCUGUUCUGAACAUUUGGAAGAAACAGUUUUUAAAUAUAACCCACCACAGUGAUUCCUCCACAGAUGCUCAUCCAAGCUGCUCAGUAACCCAGACAGUACACAGUCACUGCACCCACGUGCUCCAGAAAGUUUCCAGCCAAAAGAAAAAAAACAUCAUUACUUAGCCAUGAAAGUCAGCCUCCAAACCCAUGAAUUAAUUGGAAAUUGGACACAGGUGCUCAUGAAAAGGUUGCCUUCUUUUCUAGUUAAUUUUAAAAUUUUGUCAUAAUUUAAAAAACAUGUUGGUAAUUGCAAUAGAAUAAUGGCCCCCAACCUAACAACCUAGAGCUGGUGCAUAUGUUACCUUCUUUGGCAAAAAUAGACUUUAUUAAUGUGAUUAAGUUAAGGGAACAGUAUUUUGUGUUAUCCAGGUGGGCCCAAUGCACUCACAAGGAUCCUAUAAGAGUGGGGCGGGAGGCCCAAAGCCAGUAGGAAGUAGGUAUACAAGUGGAAGCAGGACUUGAUUGCCGUGGUGUAAGGAAGCAAUGGGACCGAGGCAACGGGGUGUCUUUUAAAGCUGGAAGGUCAAAGAAACAUUCUUCCCAAGUGCCAUCCUUCCUGGAAGGAACCGGUCUUGCCAAUACCCUGACUUUGGCCAGUGAGACUAAUGUUGGACUUCUCACCUCCACAACUGUCA